RNAcentral lists this transfer RNA (92 nucleotides) under Christensenellaceae bacterium OttesenSCG-928-L17. Its description in RNAcentral is "tRNA-Ser". It matches the Rfam family "tRNA". Rfam says of the family: Transfer RNA (tRNA) molecules are approximately 80 nucleotides in length. The record is from RNAcentral. Lineage: Bacteria; Bacillati; Bacillota; Clostridia; Christensenellales; Christensenellaceae.
GGAGAGUUGUCCGAGUGGUUGAAGGAGCACGCCUGGAAAGUGUGUAUAGGGGGCAACUCCUAUCGGGAGUUCGAAUCUCCCACUCUCCGCCA